GUAGGUGGCAAGCGUUGUCCGGAAUUAUUGGGCGUAAAGCGCGCGCAGGCGGUCCUUUAAGUCUGAAGUGAAAGCCCACGGCUCAACCGUGGAGGGUCAUUGGAAACUGGGGGACUUGAGUACAGAAGAGGAAAGCGGAAUUCCAAGUGUAGCGGUGAAAUGCGUAGAGAUUUGGAGGAACACCAGUGGCGAAGGCGGCUUUCUGGUCUGUAACUGACGCUGAGGCGCGAAAGCGUGGGGAGCAAACAGGAUUAGAUACCCUGGUAGUCCACGCCGUAAACGAUGAGUGCUAAGUGUUAGGGGUUUCCCGCCCCCCUUAGUGCUGCAGCUAACGCAUUAAGCACUCCGCCUGGGGGAGUACGGCCGCAAGGCUG
This 374-nucleotide ribosomal RNA is filed under the name uncultured organism. RNAcentral's name for it is "partial 16S ribosomal RNA". It matches the Rfam family "Bacterial small subunit ribosomal RNA", at positions 527 to 896 of the family's 1533-position model. The record is from RNAcentral.